Long non-coding RNA from Solanum dulcamara, 721 nucleotides. RefSeq lists it as uncharacterized. NCBI's taxonomy places the organism in Eukaryota, Viridiplantae, Streptophyta, Magnoliopsida, Solanales, Solanaceae. The transcript is spliced from 2 exons. The record is from RefSeq and is a predicted model, not a curated record.
AAAAUAAAAUUUAAAAAAAUCAAAAUAAACUCCCAACUUGGGGAAUCCUUCCCGCCAUUUGAUAUAUGAACGUUUGAAUACUAUAUAGCAUAUUAUGGAGAAAAGAUUUGCCCCAAUUUUCAAAAUCCCUACUCUUUCUGUAUCUUAAAACCCUCUGAUUCUGGACGACCCUUCUCUGAAACAGAUCUGACAAUUGCCAGAAUUAACCCAACAUGCUAAACUCUAAAAGGCGCAGACUUGAAGAUCCACUUGAAACUGCAAGCUCAAGCAGGAACUCUCGCUACAAAAGUCAAGUACAAAGUCCAACAACUCCAGAUGGGGUUUCAGGCAGUAAAAAUCAAGAAACGGAUCAGUUAUUUGGUCAUGACUUGAGGCAAAUCCAUCAAGCUCAAAUGAAUAAAAUUAUCAUGGACAAGUUUGUAUCUGGUUUGGGUGCACUAGCAUCAUCAAUCCAAGUUGAGGCGAUUCAUGCGAAUUGUUUCAGCUUGUUUUGGCAAACAAAGUUACAAUCUUUCUAUCUACUUGCAAAGGCCAUGGAGAAAAAAUGCAACGGGAAUGCUAAUAUGAAGUUUUGGUUGUAUAGAACUUCCAAGGAAGAAAUCGUGCUGUCACAUGAGUUAAAAACUUUUGAGUUGCUUUGGCUUAGAACUUUGAGUUAAGUUUGAAGCUUUAUUUAUCUACAGACAAUAACAGAGAAAAUGAAACAAAGUCAUUAGUCGUA